Molecule: long non-coding RNA, 2415 nt
Filed under: Acanthaster planci (crown-of-thorns starfish)
Lineage: Eukaryota; Metazoa; Echinodermata; Asteroidea; Valvatida; Acanthasteridae
Description: uncharacterized LOC110989485, transcript variant X2
Source: RNAcentral
UUAAGAUACAUGUAUCUAGAUCUAGAUGUGUGAUAGAUGAAAAUUGAUCCCAUGUGAUGACGACGUAGUUAGUUGAAAAGUCACAUAUGACAUUAAAGGUGCAUCCUUUACAGCCCAAUAUUUCCUAAAGUAAACAUUUCCAGCGGGCUGAGGGUGAAAUUUUCCAGAUACAUUUAUCUUUAAGGGAUGUGUGACAGACAAAAAUUGACCUCAUGGGAUAAUGACAUCAUUAGAUGACAGGUCACGUGAUAUCAAAUAUGCAUCAUUUAAAUUUCUAUAUCUCCUUGAAAUACAUGUCUGAGCGGGUUGAAACUUUGCAGAUAUCUGUAAGGGGGUGUGUAAUAGACAAAACUGGACCUCAUGGGUUGAUGACGUCAUCAGUUGACAAAUUGACAUAACAAGGGGUCGUUCUACACACCACUUUUGGUCCUUUCUUUGGGCCAAUUUACUUCAAACCCGGCACAUUGUCACACUACCACCCAAAGAUGUAUGCCGAAUCAUGGCGUCGACAUGACGUAAUCACCUGAUUUAUAAUAGAAUUUUGAAUAUUUAAGUUUCCCCUUAUGUUUUGUACACGUUUUUCAACUGCCAGAAUGAGAAUGGCAUGCUCUUUGGCCACUCCACAAAAUGAAACUUGGUCCAAGCAAAGACCAUGCAGCAUAUGUGGCCAUAUAGGAAUGACAUCGGUCUGGCAUCAUAAUUGGAUUUAUUUUGUAAUUUUGAGGAUUUAAUUUCUCCCAUCGACUGUGUACACAUUUUGAAACCCAUUGACUUUGUACAUACAUAGAAGUGCCAUUUUGCCCAAGCGUUUGCGGAUGUCCAUAAGUUGCUCGAUCAGCUGACCUGCGCAAUCGGUCUAUAGCCCCACGAUGUGAGCGUUGUCGCACUGUCCUAUUGCUUGAAGACCUAGCUAAAUUUGGCUAGAAGGUUGUGAAAAAAUCAUGCAAAAUAUAUCGAGGGGAAUGAACUCUGAGAUUUCAUAUUUCAGGCUUCAACCAAUUUUGAUUCUCAAAAUAAAUCAUCCGUGCUUGUUUUAUUCCUCCAUGGUGCAUGUAUCGACCUUUGUGCGGUCUCGUGUCAACACAUGGACUUGAUCGGGACGAUAUUUUCGACGGGCCCAUGUGAUUUCUUAGGACCUCUUGGGACUUCCCGGACCUGAAAUUUCAUCAAUUGAGUUCUUAAUGGAUUUUGCUUGAUCAGAGGAUUCAAAGGUAAUCCCAUAAAAUCUGAACUGAAACCAAAUUCAUGCACCGGCACAAGAAAUUGCAGGAGUUGAUACCUAAUAGGCAUGAUCACAAUGAUCGUUCGCUAAUAAGGGUGCACAGAGCCUAACAGUCACACGUAGUGCGGCGGGCAGCUGGGUUUAGAAGCUGGAUGGAUGGAGUGCUGGAACUGGGUCUGGAAGGUGUCCUUUGUACUACUGCUGGAGUGAAAGUUACAGAUAAAUCUGGUCUCCAUGUUAGUUCCAAGCACCAACGAUAAAGGAAGCUGCUGUAGAACAAAGCAAGGAAAUUAACAGACAUGAGGGUGGUCUUCACACAUUUUCAAUGUCCUCGGUACAAUUGAAGAGCACUCUAAGCAGGACUGAUCCUGAGAAGGAUGAGAACAGCUUCAUGAAACUACUCGUAGCAAGACUGCAACCAACAGGAAGCAUCCUUCAUGCUGCUACUGAAGUGAAAGCCACAGAUCUCAAUGUUAGGAAUUUAACGUCUCUGCAGUUACAUGUAGAUCAGAUGCACAGCCACCCUUGAUAAGCUGCUGUAGGCCUACAACGAAGUAAAGAAAUUCACAGAUGACACCAAAGAAUGUUUACCAGCACAUACACGAAGGAAGUCUUUCAACAUGUAGGUGUUGUUGAUGAAAAGGCAAUUCGUACUAAGACUGUUUUACAGAAGGACAUCAUCAAAAUAACAUGAUCAUCUACAAAAAAUGCAGCCACUAAGACAUAUGAGAUACAUGAGAUGUAUUUGUACAUUUCCCUUGCAUAUUUCGUUCAAGAUUUCUGCAGUAAAUGUGAACACAGGUUUCGGAACAUUAUACAAAGUUUCAACGGUCACAAGUUGCUGAUACAUGUAUUUUAAAACUGCUCCCAGUUUUGUUAAGUAUCUAGAGCAUAAAAAUUUUUCCGGUAUUUAUAUAAUAUACAAAAGUGAAAUGCCCUAAUGCAGUUUUUCUCUUUUCUUUUUUAAAUAUUAACAUUCUUUAACAUAACUUUAACAAGACCGCUUUCAGUGUUCAAUAUUUUGAGUAUACAUGGUAUUUCUUAACAUACGCUUAAAUUCCACAAUCUGAGUUUGUGCUGCUGUGCACUCGCAGAUACAGUUGUUAAAAGUAAACAUUUGUCCGGUUACUGUCGGGAGAAAAUAAGAUGUACUUUUGAAAGAAUUGUGUGAAAUUAAAGUUUGCAUUAUUUUU